RNAcentral lists this ribosomal RNA (253 nucleotides) under uncultured bacterium. RNAcentral's name for it is "partial 16S ribosomal RNA". It matches the Rfam family "Bacterial small subunit ribosomal RNA", at positions 524 to 776 of the family's 1533-position model. The record is from RNAcentral.
UACGUAGGGCGCAAGCGUUGUCCGGAUUCACUGGGUGUAAAGGGUGCGUAGGCGGGAGAGUAAGUCCGCGGUGAAAUCUCACGGCUCAACCGUGAAACUGCCGUUGAUACUGCUUUUCUUGAGUUCGGGAGAGGUUGAUGGAAUUCCAGGUGUAGCGGUGAAAUGCGUAGAUAUCUGGAAGAACACCAGUGGCGAAGGCGGUCAACUGGCCCGUAACUGGCGCUGAGGCACGAAAGCGUGGGGAGCGAACAGG